CUUCCGUAGGUGAACCUGCGGAAGGAUCAUUAAAUAAUCAAUAAUCUUGGCUUGUCCAUUAUUAUCUAUUUACUGUGAACUGUAUUAUUAUUUGACAUUUGAGGGAUGUUCCAAUGUUAUAAGGAUAGACAUUGGAAAUGUUAACCGAGUCAUAAUCAGGUUUAGGCCUGGUAUCCUAUUAUUAUUUACCAAAUGAAUUCAGAAUUAAUAUUGUAACAUAGACCUAAAAAAUCUAUAAAACAACUUUUAACAACGGAUCUCUUGGUUCUCGCAUCGAUGAAGAACGUAGCAAAGUGCGAUAACUAGUGUGAAUUGCAUAUUCAGUGAAUCAUCGAGUCUUUGAACGCAACUUGCGCUCAUUGGUAUUCCAAUGAGCACGCCUGUUUCAGUAUCAAAACAAACCCUCUAUC
RNAcentral lists this unclassified non-coding RNA (410 nucleotides) under Mucor racemosus. Its description in RNAcentral is "sequence contains 18S rRNA gene, ITS1, 5.8S rRNA gene, ITS2, 28S rRNA gene". The stretch from base 242 to 394 matches the Rfam family "5.8S ribosomal RNA". The record is from RNAcentral. Lineage: Eukaryota; Fungi; Mucoromycota; Mucoromycetes; Mucorales; Mucoraceae.